Molecule: ribosomal RNA, 344 nt
Filed under: Karlodinium veneficum
Lineage: Eukaryota; Dinophyceae; Gymnodiniales; Kareniaceae
Description: partial Eukaryotic large subunit ribosomal RNA
Rfam family: Eukaryotic large subunit ribosomal RNA
Source: RNAcentral
GGCGACUGAAGCGGGAAGAGCCCAUGUUGCCAAACCUUCGGGUGUUGUGCCAUGCGUGUCUUUUGUCUGGCCAGGAGUAAAUCCCUUGGAACAGGGUAUCAGAGAGGGUGACAAUCCCGUUCGCCUCUUGGCUUUGGCAAUUGUAGACCGUGUAACGGAGUCGAGUUGCUUGGGAUUGCAGCUCAAAGCGGGUGGUAAAUUCCAUCUAAGGCUAAAUACGGGUGGGAGACCGAUAGCGAACAAGUACUGUGAAGGAAAGAUGAAAAGAACUUUGAAAAGAGAGUUAAAGAGUGCCUGAAAUUGCUGAAAGGGAACCGUAGGUCAUCAGUGUUGGCUUCGUGCAU